CCUACGGGAGGCAGCAGUGAGGAAUAUUGGUCAAUGGCCGAGAGGCUGAACCAGCCAAGUCGCGUGAGGGAAGAAUGUCCUCUGGAUUGUAACCCUCUUUUGUCAGGGAGCAAAGUCACCCACGUGUGGGUGUUGGAGAGUACCUGAAGAAAAAGCAUCGGCUAACUCCGUGCCAGCAGCCGCGGUAAUACGGGGGAUGCGAGGUUUAUCCGGAUUUAUUGGGUUAAAGGGGUGCGUAGGCGGGUUAUCAAGUCAGCGGGAAAAUCGUGGGGCUCAACUCCAUCCAGCCGUUGAAACUGAUGAUCUUGAGUGGGCGAGAGGUAUGCGGAAUGCGUGGUGUAGCGGUGAAAUGCAUAGAUAUCACGCAGAACUCCGAUUGCGAAGGCAGCAUACCGGCGCCCGACUGACGCUGAAGCACGAAAGCGUGGGUAUCGAACAGGAUUAGAUACCCCAGUAGUC
RNAcentral lists this ribosomal RNA (459 nucleotides) under uncultured bacterium. RNAcentral describes it as "partial 16S ribosomal RNA". It matches the Rfam family "Bacterial small subunit ribosomal RNA", at positions 338 to 795 of the family's 1533-position model. The record is from RNAcentral.